RNAcentral lists this microRNA (23 nucleotides) under Ptychodera flava. RNAcentral's name for it is "Pfl-Mir-4839_5p (mature (guide))". Lineage: Eukaryota; Metazoa; Hemichordata; Enteropneusta; Ptychoderidae. The record is from RNAcentral.
UAAGUUUUUCCACUAUAACUGUG